RNAcentral lists this small RNA (148 nucleotides) under Pongo abelii (Sumatran orangutan). Its description in RNAcentral is "Metazoan signal recognition particle RNA (ENSPPYG00000032365.1)". It matches the Rfam family "Metazoan signal recognition particle RNA". From Rfam's summary of the family: The signal recognition particle (SRP) is a universally conserved ribonucleoprotein. It is involved in the co-translational targeting of proteins to membranes. The record is from Rfam by way of RNAcentral. Lineage: Eukaryota; Metazoa; Chordata; Mammalia; Primates; Hominidae.
GUUGGGUGUGGUGAUGCACGCCUGUAGUCCCAGCUACUCGGGAGACUGAGGCCAGAGGAUUGCUUGAGCUUGGGAAGUCAAGGCUGCAGUGAGCCAUGAUCACGCCACUGCACUCUAGCCUGGGUGACAGAGCAAGACCCGGUCUCAA